GAUAUUUUCAGCUAUCUAUUCUCUCUCUGCCCUUUUGUUUGGAAGACCCGAACUCGGAGGCCGCAUGCCGUGAGGGGGACCGAGGGGAAAAGACGGGAGAGACUUUUCCAACAUAAUUAACCUUCACUCUCUCCAUUUGCAGCGGCGCAUGCAGGGACGGCGGGCUGCGCUCGGCUGCGCCGCGGGAACGUGGAAGACGGAGGACACCUGCUCGCCGCGGCGACACGGAGACAUGUCCGGGCCUUUGGAGAAACGUGGAGAAUUCAGAGAAACGGUGGCCUGAGUUUCAGCGGGCAGACUCGACGCCUCUCCGCAAAUAAGCUUCAAGGUCUUCUCGGCCUCAACGAGCAACGCUUUGAAGCGAUGUGGAAACGGAGAUGAUGGAAUAAGCGGCAGCUGAUGGGACGCCAUUCGGAGGCGGCUCUUAUCUAAUCAGGAACCGUCGGAAAGGGCCGACUGCAUCACAGAGGACAGGCGGCUGCAGGAUAAGUGAAUGUGAGGAGGCCACUGGGCUCAUUGUGCUGCAGCAGACGCAGCGAUCAGCCAACAGGACACCCGGCUUCAGCUCUUUGCCCGAUUUGAGUCAUGGCUUCGGUUAAAAAUUCAUGACGGUGUGUUAGCUGUUGCUAAGGGCACGCUAAUCGACUGGAGUGAGAUUUAUAGUGCAGUUUCUGCACUAGAUGGAAAGGGAGGGGGUCAGGGGUCAUUAUGCUGCAGAAGACGGUACGGCAGGCCAGCUUAGCAUAAAAUCGGUUCAGUCUGACUAAUUGCAUUCUACACUGCAAAAACACAAAAUCUUACCAAACAAUUUUGGUCUAGUUUCUUUGUUCAAGACACCAAACUGAUUUAGAGACUCUUGACUACUCAGAUUUACACUUAAUAUUGAUGCUAAUUAAGAUAUCUUUAAUUGGAGAUGACUAGUCAAAACAUUAAAAAAUAUUACUUCACGACAAAUCAUAAUUUAAUUCUUAAUAUUUGAAAUCUUAAAUGUAAUAGUAGAUAUCUGCAGUGACACGUCUGGUCAUAAAGCAGAGCUUGUUGAAUCAGAUUUUGUGGUAAAACGGCCUGCCGUACAGACGGGUGAGUCAGAACCUGGCACACGCCGGGUUCCAGGUGGCCUUUCCUAAACCGUUUCCAUCUCUUUUUCCACUGUCUUGUCUUUUAUUAUCUGUUUUUGAAAACAAAGCUGUCAUUUUACGUCUCCUCUGCUCUGAUUCAUCCGACUCUCCCGACUUCAAACCGCCGCCGCCGUCAUCGGCGCCUAAUGUCGAAAAGAUGUCCCCCGGCUCCUUCAGAAAGAGGACGGGACGGUCGUUUGGCCCCCCGCCCGGCGAAAGGUGCAGCACAUGGAAGCCAUUUCAGGCCCGGCGCGCAGCGCGCUCUCCCGGGUCCGGCAGCGUUUACAGCAAACUAAAACCAACGGAAUCAGCUGAAAUGGAUGAAACACCUUCGUUAGCUGAAAUAUUUAAAAACUGUAACUAAUGGGGGAAAACAAACUAACUGGAACUACAUGGCAAGUUUAAAAAAUUAACUAAAACAUCCUGAAAUCAUAGAUUUAAUAACGUUUUCGUGUUAAUGGAUCUUUUUGUUAUCCUUUUGAACUGA
Molecule: non-coding RNA, 1605 nt
Organism: Poecilia reticulata (guppy)
Lineage: Eukaryota; Metazoa; Chordata; Actinopteri; Cyprinodontiformes; Poeciliidae
Source: RefSeq, a predicted model, not a curated record